GUGGAUUAGAUACCCGGGUAGUCCGCACUGUAAACGAUGAUUACUCGUUGCUGGGAAGCAAUUUUCAGUGACUAAGCGAAAGCGAUAAGUAAUCCACCUGGGGAGUACGCCGGCAACGGUGAAACUCAAAGGAAUUGACGGGGGCCCGCACAAGCGGAGGAGCAUGUGGUUUAAUUCGAUGAUACGCGAGGAACCUUACCAGGGCUUGAAAGUUAGUGACCGUCUCUGAAAGGAGACUUUCCGCAAGGACACGAAACUAGGUGCUGCACGGCCGUCGUCAGCU
Molecule: ribosomal RNA, 283 nt
Filed under: uncultured bacterium
Lineage: Bacteria
Description: partial 16S ribosomal RNA
Rfam family: Bacterial small subunit ribosomal RNA
Source: RNAcentral